This 890-nucleotide ribosomal RNA is filed under the name uncultured bacterium. RNAcentral's name for it is "bacterial SSU rRNA". It matches the Rfam family "Bacterial small subunit ribosomal RNA", at positions 28 to 958 of the family's 1533-position model. The record is from RNAcentral.
GAUGAACGCUAGCGGUAUGCUUAACACAUGCAAGUCGUACGGGGAAGAAAUUCUUAGUGGCGAACGGGUGAGUAACGCGUGAGAAUCUGCCUUUAGGAAGAGGAUAACAUUUAGAAGUAUUUGCUAAAACUCUAUAUGCCAUUUUGGUGAAAAAAUUUAUUUGCCUAAAGAGGAGCUCGCGUCUGAUUAGCUAGUUGGUGGGGUAAAGGCCUACCAAGGCGACGAUCAGUAGCUGGUCUGAGAGGACGACCAGCCACACUGGAACUGAGACACGGUCCAGACUCCUACGGGAGGCAGCAGUGAGGAAUUUUCUGCAAUGGGCGAAAGCCUGACAGAGCAAUACCGCGUGAGGGAUGAAGGCCUACGGGUUGUAAACCUCUUUUCUCAAGGAGGAAGAUCUGACGUUACUUGAGGAAUAAGCAUCGGCUAACCCUGUGCCAGCAGCCGCGGUAAUACAGGGGAUGCAAGUGUUAUCCGGAAUUAUUGGGCGUAAAGCGUCCGCAGGUUGAUAAUUAAGUCUUUUGUUAAACCUUCGGGCUCAACCCGAAAUCUGCAAAAGAAACUAUUUAUCUCGAGUAUGGUAGAGGUAAGGGGAAUUUCCAGUGGAGCGGUGAAAUGCGUAGAUAUUGGAAAGAACACCAACAGCGAAGGCACCUUACUGGGCCAGUACUGACACUCAGAGACGAAAGCUAGGGGAGCAAACGGGAUUAGAUACCCCGGUAGUCCUAGCUGUAAACGAUGGAUACUAGAUGUUGUGUGCUUUUUAAGUAGACAGUGUCGUAGCUAACGCGUUAAGUAUCCCGCCUGGGAAGUAUGCUCGCAAGAGUGAAACUCAAAGGAAUUGACGGGGGCCCGCACAAGCGGUGGAGCAUGUGGUUUAAUUCGAUGCA